CUCCAUUCAGAAAUAUUUAAUAAUCCCAUUCCAGAAUAAUGCAUUAAGGAGGAAAAGAAGCCACCACGUGGCUUUGGUCUGCCUGGAGGACUGGCACUCGAAUUCUCCAGAUGAAAGGCUCCCACUUUUAUCCCUGAAACUAAAGGACUUGAAGCCCAGCCUGAGCCGUGGUUUGGUGAUUAUAUGAUUAGGCAGCGAUGAUAACGCAUGUGGGAAAAGGUAUUUAUUGUGUGUGUGGGUUCCCCAUCGCUAUGGAAACAGAGCUCUUCCAUCGGAAUUCCUGAGUAUCCCGGGAUCCAACGGAGUGGGAAGUUUGGGAAUUUUCCAUACCUAUAUUAAAUGGAGGAAAAACAUUGGAAGUGAGAGGAGGACAACCACACCCCAAACCCUGAGGGGGUUCAGAUCAUUUCAUUGCAUGGUGAGAAUGGAAAAACAUAAAAAAAAAACAUUUAAAGCAUCAAAAAAACCAUUUAAAGCAUCAAAAAAACAUUUAAAGCAUCAAAAAAAACAUUUAAAUCUCACUGAAAAACCCCAUUUUGAGAUCCUAAAAUCUCAAUUCUCGGUGAUUUUUGUGUUUCUGCAGCUCAGUUUGGUCUUUUCUUAAAUCUGGAAUUCUCCUUAAAUUAAGGAAAUUUAAUUUCCUUAAAUCUGGAAUUCUCCUAGAGGGGAUAAAAAGGGAUGAAAUUCCCAAGAAUUGCAGAAUUCCAUGGAAAAAACAGGAAUCUCCAUAUGGCAGCCCUAAAUCCAGUUAGGAUGAGCAGCUGGAAUUAUAUUUAAUUGUUAUUUUUAAUAUUUCAGAUAUUAAAUGGAGGAAAAAUAUUGGAAGUGAGAGGAGGACAACCAGACCCCAAACCCUGAGGGGGUUCAGAUCAUUUUAUUGCAUGGUGAGAAUGGAAAAACAUCAAAAAAACAUUUAAAGCAUCAAAAAACCAUUUAAAGCAUCAAAAAAACAUUUAAAGCAUCAAAAAAACAUUUAAAGCAUCAAAAAAAACAUUUAAAUCUCACUGAAAAACCCCAUUCUGAGCUCCCAAAAUCUCAGUUUUUGUGAUUUUUGUGUUUCCUCAGGUGUGAUCCCACAUCCUCAGCGGAAUUUUGGGAAUUCCAGCCAGGAAUUCCUUCCCAAUAUCCCACCUAAACCUCCCCCUUGUCCAUUUUUAGGUUUUUCUGCAAUGGGUUUAAAGGAUUCCACCUCUUUUUACCCCAAAAAUCCCAAAUAACUCAACACUUGUUGUUUCCCAUUUUCCCGUGGCAAUACACUGAAUAAAUUUCUGAAUAAAAUCUGCCCAACCCCACAAAUCCAAUUUAUGGGAUCUGUGGCUCGAGGGGCCAAGACAAGGAGGGAUUUUUGGGUUUUUCUGCCAUGGGUUUAAAGGAUUUCACCUCUUUUUACCCCAAAAAUCCCAAAUAACUCAACACUUGUUGUUUUCCAUUUUCCCCUGGCAAUACACU
Molecule: long non-coding RNA, 1449 nt
Filed under: Taeniopygia guttata (zebra finch)
Lineage: Eukaryota; Metazoa; Chordata; Aves; Passeriformes; Estrildidae
Description: lncRNA (ENSTGUG00000023848.1)
Source: RNAcentral